UCAGUUGCAAUUUAUAUGACAAAAUUCCUAUUUGGGGACAUUGCAAAAUGUUCCGUUCUAUUUCAAUAUAGCUUAAUCCACUGGACUUUUGAGAUUUCAAAUUUUGAUGUGAUUCCUGCUUUGAUAACAUUCCUUUUUAGCCAAGGGUCUCUAUCGAAAACAGCCUCCCUACCCCACAAAGGUAGGGGUAAUGUAUGCGUACAUUCUACCCUCCCCAGACCCUACUUGUGGGAUAUUACACUGGGUAUGUUGUUGUUGUAAAUUCUGAUGUGAUUUUUUCUCUAUUAAACUAACUUUUCAACAAUCACGUUAGAGCUUUCUUCUAUUGCCACUAAUAUAAUCUAAAGUCAAAUUAUCAUGUUGAACUACUCCAUUCCUAACCAAAUAUUGUCAUAUGAACACAAAUAUGGAAUGUAUUUUUUCUUUAAAACAAAAAAAAAAAGCAUUUUCUAUCCAAACAGUGCCUUAGAUAGUCAGAAGUGAAUAUGAGAAGAAGAACAACAACAAACACAACAACAUACCAAGUGAAAUCCCACAAGUGACGUCUGGGGAGGGUAGAGUGUAGAGUGUAUGUAGGCUUUACCAUUACCUCGUGGAGGUAGAGAGGUUGUUUCCGGUUGACUCAUGGCUCAAGUGCAGCAAUUUCAGGUAUAAAGAAGAAAACAGUGACGAAAAACAUAACAACUAAUAAGAAUCCUACAAAAAAAGAACAUGAACAACAACAAAAUAGUGCAGUAGGCGGAACACAAUAAGCAAAUGAAUAUGCAUAUCAAAAACUACAACUAUAAGAAUACCAAUAAGCUUGAACCAUCGAAAGCACAACAGUUCACUAGCUAAUAAUCUUCUACCCUAAUAGGCGGUCUCCAUUCCCUCUCCCUCUUAUCUAAGGUCAGAAGCUGCAUCAUGUCGUGUCUAAUCACUUUUCCUUAAUACUUUUUUCGGCCUACCUCUAGCUCUACCUCUCCUUCGUGACUACUACAUCCAACCCCUCCGCAUCUCCGCUGACGAAUAUGAGAAGAGACUUUAGAAAUUCAAAUUUUAAUUUGUUACUGUACAUAGGAAUCAUACGAGUGCUGAAGUGAAGGUAAGUAUUCGUUACCGAAAUCCAAAAGUUGGAAUUGCAAAUUAAACUGGGCAGUGCCUGCAACAAGCCUAUCCAGACAACAGAGGCAGCUUGACAGUUUGUCCUAUUAUGCUGAUCAAGUUGAAUUCCUGAUUCAAAUCAAAGAGUUAUUGAUUCAAGCUUUUCUCAAUCAAUUGCCGACAGAGAAAAUCUUUUCAAAGAGUCUAUGUAGUUGUAUUUUGUUGAAAAAGCUUUGAUAAGAACUUUAAAAGCUCUCCAGAAAAGAAAUUAAGAGAUCCCAUUAUUCCCAGUUUCCCAUUGCCUACAUCCCUGAAAAGACUGUCCAUGGAAAUUCCCUCGAUGACACAGAGAAGACUGCGUCAAUCCUGCCAUCAUGGUGUGCCUAAAACAAAAAUUUGUUACAUAAUUGGUUACUGUCAGUUGCAAUUCAUAUGACACAAGUCCUAUUUGGGGACAUUGCAAAAUGUUCUGUUCUAUUUCAAUACAGCUAAAUCCAGUGAACUUUUGAGAUUUCAAAUUUUGAUGUGAUUCCUGCUUUGAUAACAUUCCUUUUGAGCCGAGGGUCUCUAUCAAAAACAACCUCCCUACCUCACAAAGGUAGGGGUAAUGUAUGCGUACAUCCUACCCUCCCCAGACCCUACUUGUGGGAUAUUACACUAGGUAUGUUGUUGUUGUUGUAAAUUCUGAUGUGAU
This 1777-nucleotide long non-coding RNA is filed under the name Solanum tuberosum (potato). RNAcentral describes it as "long non-coding RNA (STUB_LNC006720)". The record is from RNAcentral. Lineage: Eukaryota; Viridiplantae; Streptophyta; Magnoliopsida; Solanales; Solanaceae.